GAUGAACGCUGACAGAAUGCUUAACACAUGCAAGUCGAUUCAAUUUACCUUCGGGUAUUGAGGAUGGCGGACGGGUGAGUAACGCGUAAGGAACUUGCCUCUUGGUCUGGGACAACUGUUGGAAACGACAGCUAAUACCGGAUAUUAUGAGAUUCUCGCAUGAGAAACUUAUGAAAGCUAUAUGCGCCAAGAGAGAGCCUUGCGUUCCAUUAGCUAGUUGGUGGGGUAACGGCCCACCAAGGCGACGAUGGAUAGCCGGCCUGAGAGGGUGAACGGCCACAAGGGGACUGAGACACGGCCCUUACUCCUACGGGAGGCAGCAGUGGGGAAUAUUGGANNAUGGGNNNNAAGCCUGAUCCAGCAAUUCUGUGUGCACGAUGAAGGUCUUCGGAUUGUAAAGUGCUUUCAGUUGGGAAGAAGAAAGUGACGGUACCAACAGAAGAAGCGACGGCUAANUACGUGCCAGCAGCCGCGGUAAUACGUAUGUCGCAAGCGUUAUCCGGAUUUAUUGGGCGUAAAGCGCGUCUAGGCGGAAAAAUAAGUCUGANGUUAAAAUGCGGGGCUCAACUCCGUAUUGCGUUGGAANCUGUUUUUCUAGAGUACUGG
Molecule: ribosomal RNA, 606 nt
Filed under: uncultured prokaryote
Description: bacterial SSU rRNA
Rfam family: Bacterial small subunit ribosomal RNA
Source: RNAcentral